AGCGCUGAGGCGUGGGGCUCCCACCUCCCGGCCGCUCGCUCGUUCCCGGUCCUCUCCCGGUGCGGUGGGGAGGCCUGAGCGUUCCAGGGUCUCCUCAGAACGCACGGUCUGAGGGCGACUGUGAAGAGCCUCGGGGUUGGCUAGCCCCGGGGCUGCUCGCCCUGGGCCUUUGCUAGCCUGGCCUCCGUGUGCAUGCGCUGUGGCUGAGUGCUGGGGACACCACCGCGUCUCCUCACACCACGGGCGCGUGGGGACCUGGAGAUGCCAGAGGGGAAUCCUACCACAGAUUCAUGGCAACGGGUAAAAGUAAUCAAACGUUCAAAAAAUGGGUUAGAAGGAGGUGAGAAAGAACCCCGGAGCGCAUCUGUGCAGUUCUAAUCUUACCAUUUGAUAUUAACAUGCAAGGACUGACAUAACUUAAUGCCACAUCAUGGAUGACUUGAACAACAGAAAUUUAUUUUCCCACAGUUCUGGAGGCCAGAAGUCCAGGAUCAAGGUGACAACAGGGGCAUUUUCCUCCAGGCAAACUGGGCUAAAGGACUCUGACCAAGAACUCUACAAAAGCAGGGCCUAAGGGAUUUCACAGAAGGGGCUCCCAGUGACUGCUUCCAAGGGCACCAUCAGAACCCCAACAGGGAAAGGCAAAGCCGUGGGAGGUAAGCAAAAGUCUAAACACUGAUUGGGGUACCAUAUAGCCACCAGCUGCUCCCGAUUCUGUGGAGACACAGCAACUGAAUCUGGACAGUUGAUAGUCUGUCAAGAAAACAUGGCUGACUGGAUCUGCGAGCCCACAAGAGAAGAAUGGGACUGUGUUUAAAUGCAGCAGGAGCACAGCCUGGACCUGGACCAAGACAGCAAAGCUGUGUGGAUCAGCCAAGGAGAGGAAAGCAACAUUCAGGCCAGUAAUCUUAUAUUCCCACCCAGCUCUCCUUCCCCACUAUAGCUAUUCUUCAUUAAAAAGUUUUAUAUUAAUUUUA
Long non-coding RNA from Peromyscus leucopus (white-footed mouse), 977 nucleotides. RefSeq lists it as uncharacterized. NCBI's taxonomy places the organism in Eukaryota, Metazoa, Chordata, Mammalia, Rodentia, Cricetidae. The transcript has 3 exons. The record is from RefSeq and is a predicted model, not a curated record.